RNAcentral lists this long non-coding RNA (1276 nucleotides) under Citrus x clementina. Its description in RNAcentral is "Citrus clementina (C. clementina) long non-coding RNA (CCLE_LNC004361)". The record is from RNAcentral. Lineage: Eukaryota; Viridiplantae; Streptophyta; Magnoliopsida; Sapindales; Rutaceae.
GUAGCCAUCGGAUUAAAAACAGUUUGGACGCUCAGGAUUGCGCCACAUCAUCAGUCAACAGUACGCAGUUUGACCAUGCGGGUGAACAGUAACACGGUUUGACCCGGGUUGAACAGUGAUGCGGUUUGGUUGAAAAUAAUCCUGUGUAAUGCAUGUACCGUACGCGAGAUUUUUGGUCCACUGAUAUGCUGCCACGUCAUCGAUCAACAGUGCAUAAGAAUUUUAGUCCAACAAGAUCGUGACACAUCAUCAGUCAAUGCCACAUCAUCGGUCAAUGCCAUGUCAUCGAUCCGUUUAUGUGAACAGUGUCGUGAACAGUAACGUAGAUAGUACCAUACAUGUGAAUAGUACCGUACAUGUGAACAAUGUCAUUUUUCCUUUUACGCUCUUCCUAAGGUUUUCAACCGUCCUGAGUUCAAAAGUGAUGUCUGUUUUGCCGUCUGAUCUCUCGUUCAUUGUGAAAUGACUAUGAUGCCCUUAAAAUACAUAAAAUACUUAAUUAUAAUACAAUACAUAUAAUUAAAUGACAAGAAGUUUAAAUACAUAAAAGUAAGGGUGUUAGUAAAACUUAAAGUGUAAAAUGACGAUUUUCUCCUUUAUAAAUAUAUAUUUUCUAACACUCAACACCCCCCCCAACCAGCUUAUUACUAGUCCCUAGCAAAUAAAGUGAAAACAAAAUUCAAAUCAAAAAUGAUUUUUUUUUAAACAAUCAUGUUUAUUCAAUCAGACUAAUGAUAUUAAUUAAAUAAAACUAUAAACAUUAUCUCUAGUCUAAAGAAACAUCGCACCCACAUCAACCAUCCACAUGAAUCAGUCUAGUAGACUUUGUCAUAGCUACUUUCAAGAAUGACAUGUCAAACCCCAAAAUCUCACUGGAAGUAGUGACACUCUCACAAAGAAAUUAAACCUAAUAAAAAUAGUCACUCCAAUGAAUGGUAAUUGAGAGAAAAUAAUGAAGAAGUGAUAUCACAUGCUCUCACCAAAAUGAAAGAAAUAUGCCCUCAGCUUAGAAAUAAUACGAUCUCAAGUAAAAUAAAAAUGCUAGUCAACCCAAUUUAUUUGUUUUUAUUUUUUUAUGCACCACUACAUCUUUUUAACCCAUAUAACUAGCUUCUACUUCAGAUUAUAGUUCCCUAAAAUUAAGAAGGAAUUUUAUUAGGACGUAACGUAGGCUAGGGACAUGGCUAAUCAAGGAGAGGAAAUAAGGAAAACAAAGUGUAUGUUUGAGAAAAAUGCAGAGAUUUUUGUUUUUUUUUUUUGGAAGUUGCAAGGUGGA